This is a long non-coding RNA of Oncorhynchus mykiss (rainbow trout), 1905 nucleotides long. NCBI's taxonomy places the organism in Eukaryota, Metazoa, Chordata, Actinopteri, Salmoniformes, Salmonidae. The record is from Ensembl.
AUGCAAUGUUGUGUUUGGGGGUGCAAGGCCCAAUAUCGGAAAGGAGGAGGGUUAGGGUUUUUCCGAUUCCCUACUGAAGAGAACGAAAUUGCUCAAAGUCAAAGGAAAACUUGGAUAAAAAUGGUGAAGAUUGAAAACCCCGAACCAGAUCUGCCUUCCCGUUUGGGUGGUAAAUUGGUACUCCAAAUGGGAAACGACUGGCACCCUACUACCUCCUCUCGCAUUUGUGGGAGGCACUUUGUUUUAAAAAAACCAAACCUACAUCCGGACCACCCUGACUUUGCCCCAUCCCUCUUCCUUCGCCCAGAGGACGAUGCCUUGAGUCCGAACACAGCUCAGACAGAAGGGAAAAGAAACCUGCAGAGCUAUGACAGGGCAGUGAAGAAGAAGAAGUGCCUUGACCUUAGUGAGGUUGGAGGUGCUGACCUGAGGGACAGUUAUGCUGACACCACAGAAGAAACUGAAGAGCAGGACCUGGGCACCUGUGUAUCGUGUGAGGUCCUGAGGAAGUCCUUAAAUUAUUUGCAGUCCAGGCAUGAUGCUCUGCAAGUCGAAGCUGUCAAUCUCAGGGCGGAGAGAGACUUUUACAAAUAUAACACAUCUCAAUCCUCUCUCUUUGUUGACACCUUUACAGACAGAGACAAUCAAAUGCAUACAGUGAGAGAAGUGCCAAGCAUGGCUAAACCAAAUGGUAUGAACCAACAAUGUACUGGGAUGGUUGAGGAGCCCUGUCUUAUGGAGGUUGAGGGGUUAUGUUCUGUGAAGGUUGAGGAGCUUUGUCCUGUGAAGGUUGAGGGGGACUAUGAUCAAGUGUUGAUUAAGGAAGAGGAACAACAGGUCCAAAUAGAACUUUGUAGCCCCUUGGCUAGUCAGGACAAAGUGACCCAUGUCUCCCAGGAUAAACCUACCCAGCAUAGCAACAUUAUGAAGGCCACCAGGCGACCAUGUCUGUUAGCUCAGCAUAAACCCAUCCAGAUAGUCAACACAAUGUCACUCACCGGGGUGGUAGCCCCCAGGCCCCCAAGUCAGGUAACCAAGGAUAAACCUAUCCAGCUUGCCAAAACCAACGACCAAUGUUCUGUGAAGGUUGAGGAGUCAUGUUUUGUGAAGGUUGAGGUGGACUAUGAUCAAAUGUCGAUUAAGGAAGCAGAGCAACAGGUCCAAAUAGAAAUCUGUAGCCCCUUGGCUAGUCAAGACAAAGUGACCAAUGUCUCUCGCAGGUUGCCAAUUCAUGUCCCCAAGGAUAAAACUAUCCAGCUUGCCAAAGCCGUGGUAGAAAGCCACCUAAUGACGAACCAUCUGCCUGGCAGCCAAACCACUGCUGAGCCUUUACAGAAGACUCCUCUGUCAGCUCAAAGGACACCUGUUGCAGGCAAACAAAUUCAGAGAAGCAUAACACACACAGAGAGGGAUGAGUUGCUUUGGCUGGGCUACAUGAAGUGGAAUGUGCGUCUUCCUGCAAGCACAAUUAGAACCGCACACAAGUUUCAGACGCCUAGGGCAACAGUGCAAUACCUUCUACACGCGGUCUUCUCCCAAUGUGAACUCGCCACCAGCAAUCUCAAGGGCAUUCCUGCACUGGGCCUUAACAAACUGGACCCGGACAAACUUUCUGCCAUAAGACAGUUUGUCACCACCAAGUUUCGUCGUUUAGACAUGCGUCAAUGUGGUAAAGACUGGGUCAAGUGCCGGCGCCAGAUAACCAGCAUGCUCAGGAACAUUCGGAAGGAGGACAGGAAGACGAGGGGGCUCUCAGGAAACCUUUGUAUGAUAGAGAAGGUGUUAACGGAUCAGAGUUUACCCCGUCAGCCAUCGCCUCCCUCAUUCCCCUCGAUCUCCCAACAGCACACAGCUGCCUUCUACAACCCAACAGAAGAAGAAGAGAUCCUCUGUCUGGAGAGUUAG